UACGAAGGGUGCGAGCGUUAAUCGGAUUUACUGGGCGUAAAGGGAGCGUAGGUGGAUAUUUAAGUGGGAUGUGAAAUACCCGGGCUUAACCUGGGUGCUGCAUUCCAAACUGGAUAUCUAGAGUGCAGGAGAGGAAAGUAGAAUUCCUAGUGUAGCGGUGAAAUGCGUAGAGAUUAGGAAGAAUACCAGUGGCGAAGGCGGCUUUCUGGACUGUAACUGACACUGAGGCUCGAAAGCGUGGGGAGCAAACAGG
This 253-nucleotide ribosomal RNA is filed under the name uncultured bacterium. RNAcentral's name for it is "partial 16S ribosomal RNA". It matches the Rfam family "Bacterial small subunit ribosomal RNA", at positions 524 to 776 of the family's 1533-position model. The record is from RNAcentral.